Molecule: ribosomal RNA, 254 nt
Filed under: uncultured bacterium
Lineage: Bacteria
Description: partial 16S ribosomal RNA
Rfam family: Bacterial small subunit ribosomal RNA
Source: RNAcentral
UACGUAGGGUGCAAGCGUUAAUCGGAAUUACUGGGCGUAAAGCGUGCGCAGGCGGUGAUGUAAGACAGAUGUGAAAUCCCCGGGCUCAACCUGGGAACUGCAUUUGUGACUGGCAGGCUUUGAGUGUGGCAGAGGGAGGUAGAAUUCCACGUGUAGCAGUGAAAUGCGUAGAGAUGUGGAGGAAUACCGAUGGCGAAGGCAGCCUCCUGGGCCAACACUGACGCUCAUGCACGAAAGCGUGGGGAGCAAACAGG